Molecule: ribosomal RNA, 614 nt
Filed under: uncultured fungus
Lineage: Eukaryota; Fungi
Description: eukaryotic LSU rRNA
Rfam family: Eukaryotic large subunit ribosomal RNA
Source: RNAcentral
AGCAUAUCAAUAAGCGGAGGAAAAGAAACCAACAGGGAUUGCCUCAGUAACUGCGAGUGAAGUGGCAAAAGCUCAAAUUUGAAAUCCGGUACCUUUGGUGCCUGACUUGUAAUUUGGAGAGACAAAUUUGGUUGGCAGCGCUGGCCUAGGUUCCUUUGAACAGGACAACACAGAGGGUGAGAAUCCCGUUCAUGGCCGGAGUUGCUGUCACAUUGCUAGAUUGUCUUCGACGAGUCGAGUUGUUUGGGAAUGCAGCUCAAAAUGGGUGGUAAAUGUCAUCUAAAGCUAAAUAUUGGCGAGAGACCGAUAGCGCACAAGUAGAGUGAUCGAAAGAUGAAAAGCAUUUUGAAAAGAGAGUCAAAAAGUACGUGAAAUUGCUGAAAGGGAAGCGCUUGAGACCAGACUCGAACCUCGGUGAUCAGCCCUGCUUCUGUGCGGCCUUACUUGCCAUGGUUUGGGCCAGCAUCGGUUCCGGCGGUCGGAUAAAAGGUGGAGGAAUGUAGCUUCCUCCGGGGAGUGUUAAUUUAGCCNNCNNCACGAUGCGGCCAGCUGGGACCGAGGAUCGCGCUCCACGUUGAGCUAGGAUGCUGGCGUAAUGGUCUUAAGCGACCCGU